ACGGAAGCAGCAGUGGGGGAUAUUGCACAAUGGGGGAAACCCUGAUGCAGCGACGCCGCGUGAAGGAAGAAGUAUCUCGGUAUGUAAACUUCUAUCAGCAGGGAAGAUAAUGACGGUACCUGACUAAGAAGCCCCGGCUAACUACGUGCCAGCAGCCGCGGUAAUACGUAGGGGGCAAGCGUUAUCCGGAUUUACUGGGUGUAAAGGGAGCGUAGACGGAGUAGCAAGUCUGAUGUGAAAGGCAUGGGCUCAACCUGUGGACUGCAUUGGAAACUGUUAUUCUUGAGUGCCGGAGGGGUAAGCGGAAUUCCUAGUGUAGCGGUGAAAUGCGUAGAUAUUAGGAGGAACACCAGUGGCGAAGGCGGCUUACUGGACGGUAACUGACGUUGAGGCUCGAAAGCGUGGGGAGCAAACAGGAUUAGAUACCCUGGUA
RNAcentral lists this ribosomal RNA (433 nucleotides) under uncultured Blautia sp. Its description in RNAcentral is "partial 16S ribosomal RNA". It matches the Rfam family "Bacterial small subunit ribosomal RNA", at positions 341 to 792 of the family's 1533-position model. The record is from RNAcentral. Lineage: Bacteria; Bacillati; Bacillota; Clostridia; Lachnospirales; Lachnospiraceae.